This 434-nucleotide ribosomal RNA is filed under the name uncultured bacterium. RNAcentral describes it as "partial 16S ribosomal RNA". It matches the Rfam family "Bacterial small subunit ribosomal RNA", at positions 29 to 507 of the family's 1533-position model. The record is from RNAcentral.
AGCGAACGCUGGCGGCAGGCCUAACACAUGCAAGUCGAACGAACCUUUCGGGGUUAGUGGCGGACGGGUGAGUAACACGUGGGAACGUGCCCUUAGGUUCGGAAUAACUCAGGGAAACUUGUGCUAAUACCGAAUGUGCCCUUCGGGGGAAAGAUUUAUCGCCUUUAGAGCGGCCCGCGUCUGAUUAGCUAGUUGGUUGAGGUAAUGGCUCACCAAGGCGACGAUCAGUAGCUGGUCUGAGAGGAUGAUCAGCCACAUUGGGACUGAGACACGGCCCAAACUCCUACGGGAGGCAGCAGUGGGGAAUCUUGCACAAUGGGCGAAAGCCUGACGCAGCCAUGCCGCGUGAAUGAUGAAGGUCUUAGGAUUGUAAAGUUCUUUCACCGGGGACGAUAAUGACGGUACCCGGAGAAGAAGCCCCGGCUAACUUCGUG